Molecule: ribosomal RNA, 408 nt
Filed under: uncultured bacterium
Lineage: Bacteria
Description: partial 16S ribosomal RNA
Rfam family: Bacterial small subunit ribosomal RNA
Source: RNAcentral
GACGAACGCUGGCGGCGUGCUUAACACAUGCAAGUCGAACGAAGUGGCGAACGGGUGAGUAACGCGUAAUCAACCUGCCCUUCAGAGGGGGAAAACAGUUGGAAACGACUGAUAAUACCGCAUAAUGAAGGGGGAGAUUGCGUCUGAUUAGCUAGGUGGAGGGGUAACGGCCCACCAAGGCGAUGAGCGGUAGGCGGUCUUGGAGGUUGAACGGCCACAUUGGGACUGAGACACGGCCCAGACUCCUACGGGAGGCAGCAGUGGGGAAUCUUCCGAAAUGGACGAAAGUCUGACGGAGCAACGCCGCGUGAGUGAUGACUGCCUUCGGGUUGUAAAGCUCUGUUAAUCGGGACGCGGUACCGGAAUAGAAAGCCACGGCUAACUACGUGCCAGCAGCCGCGGUAAUAC